CCGCCAGAGAACUACAAGUGAAAAACUUGAAACUCAAAGGACUUGACGGUGUCCCAUAUCGACCUAGAGGAGCCUGUCCUAUAAUCGAUACUCCACGUUCUACCUUACCCUAACUAGCACAUCAUCAGCCUAUAUACCGCCGUCGACAGCCUACCCUAUGAAGGUCUAACAGUAGACACAAUAACCCAACCGCUAGUACGUCAGGUCAAGGUGUAGCAAAUGCUAGGGAAGAGAUUGGCUACAUUUUUUAUAAUAAAAAACACGAAAAGUACUAUGAAACCGUAUAUGAAGGUGAAUUUAGUAGUAAAAUAGAUAAGAGUGUCUAUUUUAACAACGCUCUGGGACGCGUACACACCG
Molecule: ribosomal RNA, 357 nt
Filed under: Lacerta trilineata
Lineage: Eukaryota; Metazoa; Chordata; Lepidosauria; Squamata; Lacertidae
Description: partial 12S ribosomal RNA
Rfam family: Bacterial small subunit ribosomal RNA
Source: RNAcentral